RNAcentral lists this transfer RNA (71 nucleotides) under Candidatus Melainabacteria bacterium RIFCSPHIGHO2_02_FULL_34_12. Its description in RNAcentral is "tRNA-Met". It matches the Rfam family "tRNA", at positions 16 to 71 of the family's 71-position model. From Rfam's summary of the family: Transfer RNA (tRNA) molecules are approximately 80 nucleotides in length. Their secondary structure includes four short double-helical elements and three loops (D, anti-codon, and T loops). Lineage: Bacteria; Bacillati; Candidatus Melainabacteria. The record is from RNAcentral.
CCGGCGGCAAGAAAUAAGAAAGCAGAGGACUCAUAAUCCUUUGGUUACAGGUUCAAAUCCUGUCCGAUCCA